RNAcentral lists this ribosomal RNA (633 nucleotides) under Triticum aestivum (bread wheat). RNAcentral describes it as "partial small subunit ribosomal RNA". Lineage: Eukaryota; Viridiplantae; Streptophyta; Magnoliopsida; Poales; Poaceae. The record is from RNAcentral.
AUGGAACCUGAUGCUAAACCCGUUGUUGAUCACCAACGUCGGUUAAAUCCUAAGAUGAAAGAAGUGGUAAGAACGGAAAUAUUAAAACUUAUGGAAGCAGGUAUAAUCUAUCCCAUAGCUGAUAGUAGAUGGGUAAGUCCUGUUCAUUGUGUUCCUAAGAAAGGAGGUAUAACUAUUGUUCCUAAUGAUAAGAAUGAACUUAUUCCACAAAGAAUUGUUACAGGCUAUAGAAUGGUAAUUGAUUUUAGAAAAUUAAACAAAGCAACUAGAAAAGAUCAUUACCCUUUGCCUUUUAUUGAUCAAAUGCUUGAAAGAUUAUCUAAGCACACACACUUUUGCUUCCUUGAUGGAUAUUAUGGCUUUUCACAAAUACUUAUUUCUCAACCUGAUCAAGAAAAGACCACUUUUACUUGUCCCUUUGGAACUUAUGCUUAUAGACGUAUGCCUUUUGGUUUAUGUAAUGCACCUGCUACCUUUCAAAGAUGUAUGACUGCUAUAUUCUCUGAAUUUUUUGAAAAGAUUGUUGAGGUUUUCAUGGAUGACUUUUCUUUUUACGGGAAGUCUUUUGAUGAUUGUUUAAGCAAUCUUGAUCGAGUUUUGCAGAGAUGUGAACAAAAAAAAAUCUUGUCUUGA